RNAcentral lists this long non-coding RNA (364 nucleotides) under Mus musculus (house mouse). RNAcentral describes it as "predicted gene, 16984". The record is from RNAcentral. Lineage: Eukaryota; Metazoa; Chordata; Mammalia; Rodentia; Muridae.
GACUGAGUAACUGCUAGAUCCUUGGACUUCCAUUCACAGCUGCGACUGAACCAUUGUUGGGAAUUGGGCUGCCGACUAUGAAUGAUGCCCACAAAUCAAGAGCAGGUCUUUGAAGGUUAUACCCAAGUCUGAUUCCAGCCUGAAGUCUCUGCUUCCUGGUCUACUUUGAUGGAGGGACACUCCACCACACAUUUCCAUCACCAACUGCUCCUGACAUGCUUCUGUGCCAUGGCAGUCUCUGCAGUUUCCUGCUAAACAUCAACUGUAUCAAGAAAGAGGAAACAGCUUCAGCAAGCAGUUAAUAUCUAACCCAGUACUUUGCGCGUAUUGACUGAUGGCAUCAGCAGGUGCCGCUUUGGCUGAA